CUUCACAACGCACCCCUACUCUUGAAAGACAUACCUUUUGUUUUUGCUCCCCAAAGACGUGGACUCCACCUUUUGGAAAAUGGAAUUUGUGCGUCAUUUGACUGAGAUUUUGAAAAGAUAAGGUCCCUAAUACCCCCUAUUUUCACAACUGAAGAACAAUAUAACAGGCCAAGCAGGGGUCUGUGGAGAUAGAAAGAUUUGCAGGAAGAUUGUUCAAUACGAGUAAUAAUACUGUUGGGAGAAUGGAUAUGAAGUGCAACAAAUGCCAGAAAUCUUGCAACAAGUCUGUCAUAAUAACAGAUGGAAAAAAUAAGAAUUGCAAAUGCAAGUGUGCUAAACCGCGACCACCACCGUCAUGCCGACCUAGAUGCAAGCCAAAAUGUCCACCACCAUGCCAACAGUCAUGCCGACCACCAUCGCCCCCACCAUAUCGACCACCAUGCCAACAGUCAUGCCGACCACCAUCGCCCCCACCAUGUCGACAGUCAUGCCCACAGGCAUGCCCACCACCAUGCUACUCACCAUGCGGACCUCCUGAUGAAGUCUGGCUUGUGUGGAAAGAGGAGGAUCAUUCAUCUUACCAUUACUGCUAGAGAUGAAUUAACUUUUCCAUUAUGAAUAACUGUUCUAUGUUUCUAUUUGGUAUAUGUUUAAGUCUUUAGGUGGGUAUACCUCCUAAAGUAUAUUGUGUUACAUAAACCUACUUGUUAACCGGAGUGAAGAGAAUUUACUUUGUUCUCUGGCAGAGUUAAAUCUUUAUCAUACUUUUAUGGGUUAAUAAAUUACUGGUUUGUCAUUUGUAUUAAGACAUCAGAGAAAUAAUAUAUUUGAGAAGAGUCCAGUGUUGGUCA
This is a long non-coding RNA of Cryptomeria japonica (Japanese cedar), 851 nucleotides long. RefSeq lists it as uncharacterized. Lineage: Eukaryota; Viridiplantae; Streptophyta; Pinopsida; Cupressales; Cupressaceae. The transcript has 3 exons. The record is from RefSeq and is a predicted model, not a curated record.